AAGAAUUGGAAGAUGGUGAUGAUGAUGGUCCUCAUAUGUACACCAUUUAGCAAAUAGUAUACCUAUUAUUUUUUUGUUUGCUACACUUUACAUUCUGAGAAAACAAACAUUUUUUGUAGAAAUGGAAGUAUUUGUUUGCUCUUCAUUUCUGCACAUAAUUGUCACUCUCCAUUUUUUUUACCCUCUGAAAAAAGAUUUGGUUGCUCAAACUUGUGUAAAUCUGACAGCUUUCUUCUUCUUCUUUUUUCUUGUAAGAUAGAAACUAAACAAGUAUGCAAAAUCUAGAAUUUUCAAGGUGAUUCAUAUUUUUCUUAUUGUGAGUAGAGAAUUUUAAGAGUAUGUUUCUGCUUGAUAUUUUGUGCAAUAUCUGUCCAGAGAUUUGAAGUGAGGAAGAAACAGUGCAUUGUUUUUAUUUGAUGCAGACAAACAUUUUUUGGCAGGAGGAUCUGUUCAGUUGUGAAUCCUGAACAGUUUGCCACCAACCAAGUGUAGAAACCUCUUUAUCUAAUUUUAUGUUACAGGAUCAGCUACACUCAUUAGAUUCAAACAACUGAAGAUUGAAUUAACUAUAGUUACCCCUACCAACUCCAACAUUAUCUUAUGGAGCCAAGUUCCAGAAAGUUGAUGAUAAUUGGUAUGAUCUCACCAAUAACUAAAUUUUAUGCUUCAAUUGGACUGGAAUGGGGAUUACAUUAGGUUACUUAGAAUUGCAUGUAUUGAAGUCGCAGAGAAAGCCCACUUGCCUCCCCAAUCAAUGUCCAAGAACAUGUAUGUCUAAGAGCAUAUCACCUAUUGCAUCUGAGUGGAUAUGAACACCCAGAUGCAUGCAUGGUUUGGCAUCACAUUCUUCUAAACCAAAUCCACAGAGCAUUCAUUGAAUCAUCCUUUCACAGAGACACACAAUCAUGUACAGAAUAAGAAAUGAACAGUCUUUAUACAUUGUGCUCAGUUUAGAUAUCUAUAUAUAUGAAAAUUCCAUAGUAGAAAAAGGCUUGCUAUCAAACUCCUUCACAUUCUUGAAUCAGUAUGAAUGCUUAAAAAUCUCAAGGGUUGUGUCAGUCAGAAUAUAGAUUUCAUGAAGUUUGUUCCAUUUUAGCAAGGGGUCAGCAAUGAGUGUGUCCAAUCCAAGUAUCUUCUCAUUUAAUCUGCUUUGGUGUAAUCUCUCACUGGUAAGCUUCUGCUUGAAUUUUGUUUGAAACCAUAUUGAUAUGUUGUCUUCUUUUGUCAUCUUCCAUAUCAGAUACAAGGGAAAUCAUGGAACAUAUCUGUUUGGAAACACAAGG
This 1283-nucleotide long non-coding RNA is filed under the name Musa acuminata (dwarf banana). Its description in RNAcentral is "long non-coding RNA (MACU_LNC004912)". Lineage: Eukaryota; Viridiplantae; Streptophyta; Magnoliopsida; Zingiberales; Musaceae. The record is from RNAcentral.